RNAcentral lists this ribosomal RNA (497 nucleotides) under uncultured bacterium. RNAcentral's name for it is "partial 16S ribosomal RNA". It matches the Rfam family "Bacterial small subunit ribosomal RNA", at positions 28 to 507 of the family's 1533-position model. The record is from RNAcentral.
GAUGAACGCUGGCGGCGUGCCUAAUACAUGCAAGUCGAGCGAACAGAUGGGGAGCUUGCUCCUCUGACGUUAGCGGCGGACGGGUGAGUAACACGUGGAUAACCUACCUAUAAGACUGGGAUAACUUCGGGAAACCGGAGCUAAUACCGGAUAAUAUAUUGAACCGCAUGGUUCAAUAGUGAAAGACGGUUUUGCUGUCACUUAUAGAUGGAUCCGCGCCGCAUUAGCUAGUUGGUAAGGUAACGGCUUACCAAGGCAACGAUGCGUAGCCGACCUGAGAGGGUGAUCGGCCACACUGGAACUGAGACACGGUCCAGACUCCUACGGGAGGCAGCAGUAGGGAAUCUUCCGCAAUGGGCGAAAGCCUGACGGAGCAACGCCGCGUGAGUGAUGAAGGUCUUCGGAUCGUAAAACUCUGUUAUUAGGGAGGAACAAAUGUGUAAGUAACUAUGCACGUCUUGACGGUACCUAAUCAGAAAGCCACGGCUAACUACGUG